This 250-nucleotide ribosomal RNA is filed under the name uncultured bacterium. RNAcentral describes it as "partial 16S ribosomal RNA". It matches the Rfam family "Bacterial small subunit ribosomal RNA", at positions 524 to 773 of the family's 1533-position model. The record is from RNAcentral.
UACAGAGGGUGCAAGCGUUAAUCGGAGUUACUGGGCGUAAAGGGCGCGUAGGCGGUAAGUUAAGUGAGAUGUGAAAUCCCUGGGCUUAACCUAGGAACAGCAUUUUAAACUGACGUGCUAGAGUACUGUAGAGGGUAGUGGAAUUUCCGGUGUAGCGGUGAAAUGCGUAGAGAUCGGAAGGAACACCAGUGGCGAAGGCGACUACCUGGACAGAUACUGACGCUGAGGCGCGAGAGCGUGGGGAGCAAAC